This 69-nucleotide transfer RNA is filed under the name Aeolothrips indicus. Its description in RNAcentral is "tRNA-Gly". The record is from RNAcentral. Lineage: Eukaryota; Metazoa; Arthropoda; Insecta; Thysanoptera; Aeolothripidae.
AUAAAUCUAGUACAAACCUAGUACACUUAUUUUCCAAAUAAGUAAUCGAAUAUAAUUUUCGGAUUUAUA